GGAGAGGUGUCCGAGCUGGUCGAAGGAGCUCGACUCGAAAUCGAGUAGGCUUGAAAGAGUCUCGUGGGUUCGAAUCCCACCCUCUCCG
This 88-nucleotide transfer RNA is filed under the name Acetonema longum DSM 6540. It matches the Rfam family "tRNA". Rfam says of the family: Transfer RNA (tRNA) molecules are approximately 80 nucleotides in length. Their secondary structure includes four short double-helical elements and three loops (D, anti-codon, and T loops). The record is from Rfam by way of RNAcentral. Lineage: Bacteria; Bacillati; Bacillota; Negativicutes; Acetonemataceae.